RNAcentral lists this unclassified non-coding RNA (171 nucleotides) under uncultured fungus. Its description in RNAcentral is "sequence contains ITS1". The record is from RNAcentral. Lineage: Eukaryota; Fungi.
AAAAGGUCUUGUCGAAUCUUUUGGUUUUAUACCCAAUAGAUCUCGACUUCCUGAUCAUUCCCCUUUGUGCACUUUUGAAUAAUGCUUUGGUGGGUCGAAAGAUCCACCAAAAGUUUUUUCAAAAUAGCUUUAUUUUUUGUCUGAAAAUAAAAAUAUUUAAAAUUUUAAAUA